CGUAAAAUUUUAUUUAUGCUAAUUGUCUUAAAUUACAUAUGAUUUUAAUAAUGUAAUUACUUCCCGCUGCUUAUUAUAAUCCAUCACUACCUUAUCAUAAGUUAUCAUCAGAAGCCUUGAAAACUUUUUGGCCUUUAGCUCCUCUUCAUCCAAUGGGUAAGGACAAUCGGCUUCAAGUAUAACAAAUCAAAGUACUAUUCAUAUACAAUCUCAAACUGAUAAAAGGAAAAGUUUGGUAAAACAUACAUGCUUUUAAGACACAUAAAACUAGUUUAUCUGAGUGGAUUUCUGCACCUCUUCAAAUGCAUUUAUUUUGUUUCUUUUGUCAUCUUGAUGAACUACUUCGGAAUAAACUAAAAGCUACUGAGCAUAUUAAAUUAAACACAAAUUUCCAAGCCAAGCAAAAAUAUUACAACAGUAACCAAUAAGUAAAGCAUUUUAUUAACUGUCAGAGUCAAAGGCUUGAAGGGAAAACAUUUAAAAGAAAUUUAGAAGUUUGCAAACAGCGUAAAGUGCAAACAUUAACUGGCAGGCCUUAUUUGAAGAGCCCCAAAAAAUAAUGCAGCACUUCCUAAAUAUUAUGUGAUUCACAUUAAGAAAAAUUAAAAGUCUAAUUAAUUACACGCGAUACCUAAAUACACAAUUUUAUUUUAUAAUAUUUUCGGUAAAGAGUCUCUCUACCUGCAUUCAUGUGACGACCCAAUGGGUUCAUCAUUUAUUUAUUUUUUGUUCUGUACUUUCAGGGCUUUAAGACCUCCUCUCGGGUUGCCCCGAUUAGCGUGCGCAAUCCCGCCGCGUAGCCGAAAAGCUUAGAUAUGGAUGCUGUGAGAAAAAUGAUAAUUUUGGUAUUAAAUUGAACAAAUUUGACUUCGGUCAACGUUUUGGGUAAACGGAUCCGGGCUCGUGAUUUGGCGGUCGCGAAGGGUCAGUAGGAAAAUAUGGGACUUGAGCGUAUCCCUGUAAUCAGAUUCUGAGAUCUCAAGCCUGAGAAAUGAAUUUUUAUAUGAAAUUAUUUUCUGGAAUUAAUAAAGAAAAUGGAAACGAGAUUUGAUUAAAAAACUGGGGCUAUCGGGUCCGUGUUUUGGUUUCGGUGCCCGGUACAAAUUUUAUAUAUGAUUGGAGCUCUUCCUAUAAAGUCUGCUUGAAAACGGACGUCGUUUCACGUGUUUCGGACCCGAAAUGAGAAUUUUAUGUCUUAUGAAAUUUGGAAAAAAUCAUGAGUUUUGAGGCUCUAUCUGAUGUAUAUGGUAGUGUCUUGGCGAUUUGAACGCACUGACAAGUCCGUAGGAUAUUUUUGAAGUAGUGUGUAUGUUUGGUUUGGAGCUCCGAGGGCUCGAGUGAGUUUCGAGUCGGUCCCGGGAGGUCUUAGACUUAAAACACCAAAUGUUGCAUGUCAGGUGCAAGCUGCAGGUUCCGGUGCGGCCGCGGUCGUGAUCGCGCAAUCCGCGGCGUGAGCUGCGCCGCCGUGAUCGUCCUCGCGCGGUCCAAGCAGCCCGCUUUAGAGAACCCCGAGCCUUCUGUCCCUCUUGUGCGGUCUGAUUCGCUUUUGCGCGGUCCGCGGUGUGAGCCGCGCGACCGCGGUCAUCCUUGCACGGACCGCACUGCCCACCUCAGAGGACCUGCAACUUUCAGCUCCACCAGCGCGGCUGCGGUCAUCCUCGCGCGGUCCGUGCUGGAGGUUCAGAGAGUAUAUAUACACGGGAUUUUUCAGUUAUUUCUCACUUUUCAAAAACCCAAAACCUAAGAGGUCCGGAGGGGCUCCUACAGCCCAAGCGCUAUAUCAUACAGUGCCAAUAGAUACCACUGUUUUCAUCUCACUUUUCAAAAACCAAAAACAUAAAAGGCAAUUUUUAAGCAAUUCUUCUCCUUCAAGAUGAUUGGUAAGUGGCUUCUAACUCAUUUUCUUCACUUCUUAACACCUUUUAACAUAAUUUCAACAUUAAAUUGAAGGUUUUAAGGGGUAAAUUCGGGUAUAUUGGGUAAGACUUAGGGUUUUGCUAAAAUUGAGGAUUGGACCUCGAUUCGGGGUCUGAUUUCAAAACUAACCAUAUAAUUGGAUUCGUGGGGAAUGGGUAAUAAGAUUUUAGUUCGAACAUCGGGUUUUGACCACGUUAGCCCGAGGGGCAUUUUGGUUAUUUUAUCUAAAUUUACAUCUUAGCUUUAAAUUAAAUAGUAGAAUUAGUUGUUUGAGAUGUUAUUUACGAGAUGUAAUUGAAAUGAAUAGAUUUAGGCAAUUUGGAGUCGGAUACUCGUGGCAAAGGAGUGCUUUCAAGUUGAUUCUUGGAGCUGAUUAAGGUAAGUGGCUAUUCUAACCUUGUGUGGGGAACCCUUGAAGUUGGAUACUCGUGGCAAAAGAGUGAUUUGAACUUGAUUUUGGAGCCGAUUGAAGUAAGUGGCUUGUCUAACCUUGUGUGGGGGACCUUCCACUUAGGAUAUGGUGUUUGUUAAUUGAAUGCCUCGUACGUGAGGUGACGAGCGCGUAUUUGAGCAAAUUGUUGGAAAAUUCAUUUUUACUUGAAGUAUUUAAAUUGAAUUUUGUUGCUUACCUGUUCAUUUUGAAUUGUGAGUUUAUUCUAUGCUAGAUUAGAGAGGCAUAUUCGUUUGACUUGCUGCCAAGUGUUAAACUGUCCUGUUUGUAUUCCGCGUAGUAUGUUUGGCCAGUAUUUUUCUAUUUCUUGUCCUGAGUUAGUAUCUUUCUAAAUGUUUGGGUUUCUAUUGUGUGUUUUUAAAUUGGGACUACGAGUUGGCCUCCCGGGAGAUCCCCCUGCACUUGAUAAUGAGGAUACUAAGAGAUCCUCGGGAUACCAAGAGAUCCCUAGUGAAUAUUAUGAGGAUACCAAGAGAUCCUCGGGAUACCAAGAGAUCUCUAGUAAAUAUGAUGAGGAUACCAAGAGAUCCUCGAGAUACCAAGAGGGACGAAGGGUAAGGGAUACCAAGAGAUCCCUGGCACAUGAAAGUCUAAGAUUGAUGAUACCAAGAGAUCCUCGGGAUACCAAGAGAUCCCCAGUGAAUAUAAUGAGGAUACCAAGAGAUCCUCGGGAUACAAAGAGAUCCCUAGUGAAUUUAAUGUGGAUACCAAGAGAUCCCCGGGAUACCAAGAGACCCCUAGUAAAUAUAAUGAGAAUACCAAGAGAUCCUUUGGAUACCAAGAUAUCCCUAGUGAAUAUAAUGAGGAUGCCAAGAGAUCAUCGGGAUACCAAGAGAUCCCUAGUGAAUAUAAUGAGGAUACCAAGAGAUCCCUAGUGAGUAUAAUGAGGAUACCAAGAGAUCCCUCGUGAAUAUGAUGAGGAUACCAAGAGAUCCUCGGGAUACCAAGAGAUCCUCGGGAUACCAAGAGAUCCCUAGCGGANNNNNNNNNNNNNNNNNNNNNNNNNNNNNNNNNNNNNNNNNNNNNNNNNNNNNNNNNNNNNNNNNNNNNNNNNNNNNNNNNNNNNNNNNNNNNNNNNNNNNNNNNNNNNNNNNNNNNNNNNNNNNNNNNNNNNNNNNNNNNNNNNNNNNNNNNNNNNNNNNNNNNNNNNNNNNNNNNNNNNNNNNNNNNNNNNNNNNNNNNNNNNNNNNNNNNNNNNNNNNNNAGCUUGGCACUUACUGAGUACCGUUGUGGUGUACUCAUGCCUCUUCUGCGCAUGUUUUCCAUGUGCAAAUCCAGGUAACCCAUCUCAGGUGCACUAUCACCGAGGCAGAUAGAUCUAGCGGAGACUCAAGGCUAUUUUAUCCUGUAGUUAGCUAGUUUGUUCCUGUUUUUCAUUAGUAAAGGUGAGAAAAUCACAUAUCGAUAGGCACAAAAAAUAAAAACAACAACUGAAGAACACAGAGAUAAAAAAAAACCUUGUUGUAUGGAGAUUUUAAUGCGUUUAGCACCGAGAGAAAGUAAUACUUCAUCCUCUAUGUAAUACUCAAAGCUAGUUUUUACAACAUAAUCCUUGUCAAAAUGGAACCAUAAAAUAAUACUUGAGAAUAGAGAAAGCAGUGAGAUGCAUAAGAAAUAUAAUAGAAAGCCUACUUCAAAUAAAUUUCUCAAACACCUAAGUUACAAAAGCUCUUUGCAUGUUAAAGUUUAUGUGCUCGACAGCCCUAAGACCUCAUAAGAAAAUACAAAUUCCUAACAUGUCAUCGAAGAUAAAACAGAUGAUAGAAGAAACAAAAUAUAAAAAGAAGAAUACCCACCAAAAAAUAAUGAUUUAGAAAGAAAAAUUCAGUAGCAACAUUAGGAUCAAAGGAGUAAGAGGAGAACUGUUUGGAGAUAGAGAAAUUUGAGAAAUCUAAGAUCGAUAAGAGAAAUGAAACAAUCACUCCCCUUAUGAUGAAAAUGAAGUUCACAUAUUGGACAAGCAAUACAGAGAAUUAGCUAUAUUGAAUAGCAUUAGCAACAUAUAUAAAUUAUUGUGUUUCUAUGCAUAUAAAUUUAUCAUAUAUUGUAUAAUUCUCAUUCAGGAAGAAAAAAUCACCGGGAGAAAUGAAAGUACUUACAAAUUGGUCAUAUAUCUGCGAAUUCCUGAUAAAUUCUUUAUAGCUGAUAAAUUGUUUACCAUUCAUUUGUGCUACCCAAAUAUCGGAUGAUCUUGUAAAAUAACAAAUAGAUGACUUUACAGUUUAAAGACGUGCAUUUUUUCACGAAGCUUUUCUUUGAAAGAUAAUAAAGUAUAAAAGAAAAAGAAUUAGGAACCAGAGAACUAAUAUACGAUGCGCAUUGACUCAAGUUGCAAGAUUUUGCAAGAGACAAUUAAAAGAAAGCUAAGAGAGUAGGAAUAGGUGCAAUAAUGGAGCACCAUUUUGUUCUAUAAUUGAAUUGAAUUCAAACUUUGGGCGUUACCUUAUGUGGUGCACCGACGCUUGAAACUGUUGCGCCAUUCUCUCUAUGAUCCUCAUGGCUGUUGUUUUCAUAUACAUUCAC
RNAcentral lists this long non-coding RNA (4891 nucleotides) under Nicotiana benthamiana. RNAcentral describes it as "long non-coding RNA (NBEN_LNC017329)". The record is from RNAcentral. Lineage: Eukaryota; Viridiplantae; Streptophyta; Magnoliopsida; Solanales; Solanaceae.